This 610-nucleotide ribosomal RNA is filed under the name Limnobacter sp. RNAcentral's name for it is "bacterial SSU rRNA". It matches the Rfam family "Bacterial small subunit ribosomal RNA", at positions 40 to 645 of the family's 1533-position model. The record is from RNAcentral. Lineage: Bacteria; Pseudomonadati; Pseudomonadota; Betaproteobacteria; Burkholderiales; Burkholderiaceae.
UGAUGCGCGCUUAACAUGCAAGUCGAACGGUAACAGGGAGCUUGCUCCGCUGACGAGUGGCGAACGGGUGAGUAAUACAUCGGAACGUGCCCAGUAAUGGGGGAUAGCUCGGCGAAAGCCGGAUUAAUACCGCAUACGCCCUGAGGGGGAAAGUGGGGGACCGCAAGGCCUCACGUUAUUGGAGCGGCCGAUGGCUGAUUAGCUAGUUGGUAGGGUAAAGGCCUACCAAGGCGACGAUCAGUAGCUGGUCUGAGAGGACGAUCAGCCACACUGGGACUGAGACACGGCCCAGACUCCUACGGGAGGCAGCAGUGGGGAAUUUUGGACAAUGGGGGAAACCCUGAUCCAGCAAUGCCGCGUGUGCGAAGAAGGCCUUCGGGUUGUAAAGCACUUUUGUCAGGGAAGAAAUCCUUUGGGCUAAUACCCUAGGGGGAUGACGGUACCUGAAGAAUAAGCACCGGCUAACUACGUGCCAGCAGCCGCGGUAAUACGUAGGGUGCAAGCGUUAAUCGGAAUUACUGGGCGUAAAGCGUGCGCAGGCGGUUGUGUAAGACAGGUGUGAAAUCCCCGGGCUUAACCUGGGAAUUGCAUUUGUGACUGCACGACUAGA